GAUGAAUGCUGGCGGCGUGCCUAAUACAUGCAAGUCGAGCGAACGGACGAGAAGCUUGCUUCUCUGAUGUUAGCGGCGGACGGGUGAGUAACACGUGGAUAACCUACCUAUAAGACUGGGAUAACUUCGGGAAACCGGAGCUAAUACCGGAUAAUAUUUUGAACCGCAUGGUUCAAAAGUGAAAGACGGUCUUGCUGUCACUUAUAGAUGGAUCCGCGCUGCAUUAGCUAGUUGGUAAGGUAACGGCUUACCAAGGCAACGAUGCAUAGCCGACCUGAGAGGGUGAUCGGCCACACUGGAACUGAGACACGGUCCAGACUCCUACGGGAGGCAGCAGUAGGGAAUCUUCCGCAAUGGGCGAAAGCCUGACGGAGCAACGCCGCGUGAGUGAUGAAGGUCUUCGGAUCGCAAAACUCUGUUAUUAGGGAAGAACAUAUGUGUAAGUAACUGUGCACAUCUUGACGGUACCUAAUCAGAAAGCCACGGCUAACUACGUG
Molecule: ribosomal RNA, 497 nt
Filed under: uncultured bacterium
Lineage: Bacteria
Description: partial 16S ribosomal RNA
Rfam family: Bacterial small subunit ribosomal RNA
Source: RNAcentral